This 393-nucleotide ribosomal RNA is filed under the name uncultured bacterium. RNAcentral's name for it is "bacterial SSU rRNA". It matches the Rfam family "Bacterial small subunit ribosomal RNA", at positions 29 to 424 of the family's 1533-position model. The record is from RNAcentral.
AUUGAACGCUGGCGGCAUGCCUUACACAUGCAAGUCGAACGGCAGCACGGGAGCAAUCCUGGUGGCGAGUGGCGAACGGGUGAGUAAUAUAUCGGAACGUGCCCGGUCGUGGGGGAUAACGUAGCGAAAGCUACGCUAAUACCGCAUACGAUCUACGGAUGAAAGCGGGGGAUCGCAAGACCUCGCGCGAUUGGAGCGGCCGAUAUCAGAUUAGGUAGUUGGUGAGGUAAAGGCUCACCAAGCCGACGAUCUGUAGCUGGUCUGAGAGGACGACCAGCCACACUGGGACUGAGACACGGCCCAGACUCCUACGGGAGGCAGCAGUGGGGGAAUUUUGGACAAUGGGCGCAAGCCUGAUCCAGCAAUGCCGCGUGCAGGAUGAAGGCCUCGGUU